Regulatory RNA element from Ophiophagus hannah (king cobra), 54 nucleotides. It matches the Rfam family "Editing element of GABA-3 exon 9". NCBI's taxonomy places the organism in Eukaryota, Metazoa, Chordata, Lepidosauria, Squamata, Elapidae. The record is from Rfam.
AAGGUAGCUUACGCUACUGCUAUGGAUUGGUUCAUAGCCGUGUGCUAUGCAUUU